RNAcentral lists this ribosomal RNA (145 nucleotides) under Clostridioides difficile. Its description in RNAcentral is "partial 23S ribosomal RNA". It matches the Rfam family "Bacterial large subunit ribosomal RNA", at positions 1362 to 1505 of the family's 2925-position model. The record is from RNAcentral. Lineage: Bacteria; Bacillati; Bacillota; Clostridia; Peptostreptococcales; Peptostreptococcaceae.
AGGUUCGUCCGCCCUGGGUUAGUCGGGACCUAAGCUGAGGCCGAAAGGCGUAGGUGAUGGACAACAGGGUGAUAUUCCUGUACUACCGAUAACCGUUUGAGAGAAGGGAUGACACAGUAGGAUAAGCUAAGCACCUGUCGCUUAU